UAGGGAAUCUUCCGCAAUGGGCGAAAGCCUGACGGAGCAACGCCGCGUGAGUGAUGAAGGUCUUCGGAUCGUAAAACUCUGUUAUUAGGGAAGAACAAAUGUGUAAGUAACUAUGCACGUCUUGACGGUACCUAAUCAGAAAGCCACGGCUAACUACGUGCCAGCAGCCGCGGUAAUCCGUAGGUGGCAAGCGUUAUCCGGAAUUAUUGGGCGUAAAGCGCGCGUAGGCGGUUUUUUAAGUCUGAUGUGAAAGCCCACGGCUCAACCGUGGAGGGUCAUUGGAAACUGGAAAACUUGAGUGCAGAAGAGGAAAGUGGAAUUCCAUGUGUAGCAGUGAAAUGCGCAGAGAUAUGGAGGAACACCAGUGGCGAAGGCGACUUUCUGGUCUGUAACUGACGCUGAUGUGCGAAAGCGUGGGGAUCAAACAGG
This 429-nucleotide ribosomal RNA is filed under the name Actinomycetes bacterium. RNAcentral's name for it is "Actinobacteria bacterium partial 16S ribosomal RNA". It matches the Rfam family "Bacterial small subunit ribosomal RNA", at positions 355 to 776 of the family's 1533-position model. Lineage: Bacteria; Bacillati; Actinomycetota; Actinomycetes. The record is from RNAcentral.